GCCCGAGUGGCGGAAUGGUAGACGCAAGGGACUUAAAAUCCCUCGAACUUUUUCGUUCGUGCCGGUUCAAGUCCGGCCUCGGGCACCA
RNAcentral lists this transfer RNA (88 nucleotides) under Campylobacteraceae bacterium. RNAcentral describes it as "tRNA-Leu". It matches the Rfam family "tRNA". From Rfam's summary of the family: Transfer RNA (tRNA) molecules are approximately 80 nucleotides in length. Their secondary structure includes four short double-helical elements and three loops (D, anti-codon, and T loops). Further hydrogen bonds mediate the characteristic L-shaped molecular structure. tRNAs have two regions of fundamental functional importance: the anti-codon, which is responsible for specific mRNA codon recognition, and the 3' end, to which the tRNAs corresponding amino acid is attached (by aminoacyl-tRNA synthetases). tRNAs cope with the degeneracy of the genetic code in two manners: having more than one tRNA (with a specific anti-codon) for a particular amino acid; and 'wobble' base-pairing, i.e. permitting non-standard base-pairing at the 3rd anti-codon position. The record is from RNAcentral. Lineage: Bacteria; Pseudomonadati; Campylobacterota; Epsilonproteobacteria; Campylobacterales; Campylobacteraceae.